RNAcentral lists this ribosomal RNA (253 nucleotides) under uncultured bacterium. RNAcentral's name for it is "partial 16S ribosomal RNA". It matches the Rfam family "Bacterial small subunit ribosomal RNA", at positions 524 to 776 of the family's 1533-position model. The record is from RNAcentral.
UACGUAGGGGGCUAGCGUUGUCCGGAUUUAUUGGGCGUAAAGAGCGUGUAGGCGGCCAGGUAGGUCUGGUGUGAAAACUCGAGGCUUAACCUCGAGAUGUCAUCGGAAACCAUUUGGCUAGAGUCCGGAAGAGGAGAGUGGAAUUCCUGGUGUAGCGGUGAAAUGCGCAGAUAUCAGGAAGAACACCCGUGGCGAAGGCGGCUCUCUGGGACGGUACUGACGCUGAGACGCGAAAGCGUGGGGAGCGAACAGG